This 20-nucleotide microRNA is filed under the name Corchorus olitorius. RNAcentral describes it as "ssc-miR-36". The record is from RNAcentral. Lineage: Eukaryota; Viridiplantae; Streptophyta; Magnoliopsida; Malvales; Malvaceae.
UACUGUACUUUUUUUUUUGU